GACGAACGCUGCCGGCGUGCUUAACACAUGCUAGUCGAGCGGCGCGGCGCACGGGUGAGUAACGCGUGAGUAAUUGCCCCCCUCUCUGGGAUAACAGUUGGACACGGAUGCUAAUACCGGAUAGUGGGGGGUGACUCGCGUCCUAUCCGCUUGUUGGUGGGGUAGUGGCCUAACAUGGCGCAGACGGGUCGCCGGCCUGAGCGGGCGACCGGCCACAUUGGGCUUAUGUACGGCCCAAAGGCCGACGGGAGGCAGCAGUGGCGAAUAUUGCACAAUGGGGGAAACCCUGAUGCAGCAACGCGCGUGCGGGAUGACGGCCUUCGGGUUGUAAACCGCUUUCAGCCAUGACGCGGUAGUGGCAGAAGAAGCAGCGGCUAACGACGUGCCAGCAGCCGCGGUAAUUC
This 404-nucleotide ribosomal RNA is filed under the name uncultured bacterium. RNAcentral describes it as "partial 16S ribosomal RNA". It matches the Rfam family "Bacterial small subunit ribosomal RNA", at positions 28 to 526 of the family's 1533-position model. The record is from RNAcentral.